Molecule: ribosomal RNA, 406 nt
Filed under: uncultured bacterium
Lineage: Bacteria
Description: partial 16S ribosomal RNA
Rfam family: Bacterial small subunit ribosomal RNA
Source: RNAcentral
GACGAACGCUGGCGGCGUGCCUAAUACAUGCAAGUCGAACGAGUGGCGGACGGGUGAGUAACACGUGGGAACCUACCCAUCAGAGGGGGAUAACACUUGGAAACAGGUGCUAAUACCGCAUACGAUAUGAUGGACACGCGGUGCCUUAGCUUGUCGGUAAGGUAACGGCGUACCUAGGCGACGAUCCCUAGCUGGUCUGAGAGGAUGAUAAGCCACACUGGGACUGAGAGACGGCCCAGACUCCUACGGGAGGCAGCAUUGGGGAAUAUUGCACAAUGGGCGCAAGCCUGAUGCAGCCAUGCCGCGUGUAUGAAGAAGGCCUUCGGGUUGUAAAGUACUUUCAGUCGGGAGGCGUUACCGACAGAAGAAGCACCGGCUAACUCCGUGCCAGCAGCCGCGGUAAUAC